Molecule: ribosomal RNA, 253 nt
Filed under: uncultured bacterium
Lineage: Bacteria
Description: partial 16S ribosomal RNA
Rfam family: Bacterial small subunit ribosomal RNA
Source: RNAcentral
UACGGAGGGUGCAAACGUUGCUCGGAAUCAUUGGGCGUAAAGCGCACGUAGGCGGCCUGAUAAGUCGGGUGUGAAAGCCCUGGGCUCAACCCAGGAAGUGCACUCGAAACUGUCAGGCUUGAAUAUGGAAGAGGGUCGCGGAGUUCCCGGUGUAGAGGUGAAAUUCGUAGAUAUCGGGAGGAACACCAGUGGCGAAGGCGGCGACCUGGGCCAAUAUUGACGCUGAGGUGCGAAAGCGUGGGGAGCAAACAGG